This is a non-coding RNA of Agrilus planipennis (emerald ash borer), 106 nucleotides long. The record is from Rfam. NCBI's taxonomy places the organism in Eukaryota, Metazoa, Arthropoda, Insecta, Coleoptera, Buprestidae.
AGGUAGAGGGGUUUUAGUCGGUAGGUCCGAGGACUUCUUCCUCGGGAAUCCGACACUACCCAGUCGUACGGACGGCUGGGUGUCUUCAGAAGAUUUCCUCUCUUCC